Long non-coding RNA from Elgaria multicarinata webbii, 2505 nucleotides. RefSeq lists it as uncharacterized. The record is from RefSeq and is a predicted model, not a curated record. The transcript is spliced from 2 exons. Lineage: Eukaryota; Metazoa; Chordata; Lepidosauria; Squamata; Anguidae.
UUUAAAAAUCUAUUUACUGUGUAUAAUCUGUACAGCACCAUGUACAUUGAUGGUGCUAUAUAAAUAAUAAUAAUAAUAAUAAUAAUAAUAAUAAUAAUAAUAAUGAAAUAAAUAAAAAUUAGGGGCGAAGAGCCUGGUGGGCACUAAGAGAGAUACCCAUGGGCACUGUGUUAGAGAUGCCAGGUUCAAACCACAGUUCCUUUUUUAGACAUAAGACACUGGUUAGUUUAAGCUAAAUCUCCUUGUGGUCAUGGGUUUAGUGUUCUGCCCAACCUGGGCACAGAAUGGUGCUUUUAAAAAAUGUAACAGGCUGUUUUUUGUGCUUGGACACAGCAGGAUUUGGGUUAGAAGAGAGCUUUCUAGAAACACCCAUCACUCCCCUCUGUACAAAUCCCUGCCCAGACAGGUACAAAAAGCAACACACCUACUUUUGUUCCUGUGCAUCAGGAAGCAAUAAAUCCAUGCCUCACUGGCUAAAACGGCCAAUGUUUGGCUACCAGGGCCAGCCAAAAUGUUUGGAUCUUUGUUCAGCAACGUUUGCCUGCAAUGAGGGGGCAGGAAAGGAAAAGUGUGUGUUAGGGUGAUCUUGCCUAGGGAACAUUCCUGAGAACUAUAGAAUUGCUGUGAUUUGGUGGCUUUACAAACUAUGCAGUACUGUGGAUGCUAGUUGGCUGAACUGGCAUGGAGACUUCCUACUAUUUGGAUAUUUUCAUUUGGUGCCUGUGUUCCCUGCAGCUCCAUUGUGUUCAUGGUGGUAAUUGUGGGAAUACAGCCUACACAAGGGAAAGAGUGAUAAUUAACCCUACACUGAAUUGUGCUGUCUAUAUGCAGAUGCGAGUUCUCACCCUUGCAAAUUAAUGCAAAAACAUAACAGCAAGAAAUCCCCCAUAGAUGUGCUGUUAGAUUAUUAUUUUCACUUUAAAACAAUGGUAAUAAAAUGUGUAAUCUUCAGGUUUCGGAAACUAAGGCCUUAGCUAGACCUAAGGAUUCCUGUGUGUCCUUUUGAUGCCCAGGGAUGAUCCCGGGACAAUCCUGGGAUAUAGGCCUGGUCUAGCCAUGGCCUAAGUCUUGUGUUUACUGCAUAUUGUCACUCGUGUCCUGUGUCAUCUACUUCCCACAAGUGGCAAAUGAGGCAUUAAUAUGAAUCUCUAUGGUUUGGUUUCUUAGUAACUUUGAUGGCUUCCGGGAAAGAUGUAAUCUUAUAAAUUAUCUCUCACGUGAAUUUAGCAGCAAGGAUUUCCCCAUUCCAUUCUAUUCAUCCUCCCCUUUUGUAAAGGUAUAUAGGCAGUAUAUAUGUAUCGCAUUCAGUGCGGAUUCAAAUGUGCAUUCAAACCAUGCAAUCCUCUGCAUGCAUUCUGAAAUUGUACUGUUUAGGAAGACUAUCAUGCUAUGUUUAUGCACUUGAAGUAGGAUAUUAAGACAAACCAAAAUACGCAAUUGGGAGAUCCAUUGUCAGAUCUCUUCAGGUUGUUUUUUGUUUUGUUUUUUAAGGUAAAAGCAUACAUAAAGGUUUCCAAAUAGGACUGGGACCAUGCUGCAUUUUUGGUAAUUCUCUCCCCAACCAACUCCAUUUUCCUGAUUUAAAUCAUCCCUUGAAUCUGUUAGUUCCUCACAGAGGAAAAUUUACAAGUACUGUAUGUUUCGCCAAUGGGCAACCAGCAGUUUCAAGAGGUGGGUGGGUAGGAUUAAAUAGGGGAAAUGAUGCAUGGGGAAAGGUUUAAAAACCAAUCAAUCAACCAAAAAACAAAACAAAACAGCACUAUGGCCCCAAUCCAAACCAACCCCCUCCACUCCUGUUUGCUUUUGCCUUUUUUAAAAAAAUAAAUGCAGUGACUGAACUCCCAAAGUCACAGUUUCUUUGGUCCUUAGUCUUACCAUUCCUGUGGCAACAACCUACUUGACAUUUAUGUCAUCUAAUGAACUGCAAGAGCAGAGCUGUGUUAACAUGUUUGCUGAAAUGUGGACGGCUGUUGAUUAUUUUGCAUGGGUAAACCUUGUUAAAUGUUAAUGGAAUACUUCAUUUUUGAAAAACUAAAAAAAAAAAUCAAAAGGAAAACUGAUUCACCAUUCACUAACUUAGUACAACGAGUAGAAUAAAAAUCAGCACACUUCUUUAACACAAUUGUAUUUAAUAGACAUUGUACAUGGACAUUACAUUUCUAAAAUGCUCCAGCAAACUUGCAAUACCUUAAUAAUGCUCAGUGUUCUAAAGUAUUAAGCAAGAAUCAUAAAUGAGCAUUCUUAGCAAUAUUUUGAAAACUAGAACAGGUUUAACUGUUUGCCUUUUUGCUCCCCCCCUCCCUGUAGUGCAGCCUUUCUGCAACUUAACUGUAUCGCUUCGUACUUCAUGUUUUUUUUUUUUACUAUCACGGCUUCAAAAUUCAAACCUGUACCCAAAGUCCUGAAUGACUUGUCUCUUGUACAUGCAAUGUAACAACAUACUUAAAAGUUUUUGGUGCUUAAAAUUGUUCCUUUGUUUUCUUUAAUAAAGGAUAUUUAUUUGAA